This is a non-coding RNA of Chrysemys picta bellii (western painted turtle), 1342 nucleotides long. NCBI's taxonomy places the organism in Eukaryota, Metazoa, Chordata, Testudines, Emydidae. The record is from RefSeq and is a predicted model, not a curated record.
CUUAUGCUCCCAAUACUUCUGUUAGUCUUAAAGGUGCCACAGGACCCUCUGUUAGAUUCAGACUAACACGGCUAUCCCUCUGAUACUUGAUUACCACUGAGUCAAUGAGCAUUAGACACUUAACUGCUGUUUAUGAAUCUAGAAAUCUCCCCCAAAGCCACUAGGGACAGUAAAUGGGACUUGUGCUCCAAAGUCAGUAAUGGUAUGUCAACACUGCAGUGUAAGCCCAGGCUCAGGCUCAAGCCCAGCCCCCCUCCCCCUUUCCAUCUACACACAGAGCUAUCUGAUUCAGGCCAGCAAACCCUCGGGACCCAGACCCUAGGACCUGGCAAGUGGGAGUGGGUCUAAGCCCAAGUUCCACUGGGACUUGGGUCCACAGUGCACUCCCAUUUUGCAGUGUGGACACAGUUUGGGCCCAGGUCCCUCUGACUCAAGUGCUGAUGCUCCACCAACACUAUCCUCAGUCCAAUGGGCCAAUGUUCCUAUCAUUUCUAUCCCAACACUAGCCAAUCAAUUCACAGGAAAUGGAAACAACCUCUUGGUUCUCGUACAGCUAUUUGAUGUUUAACCUUCCAUUCUAUUCUGACUGCUGAGCUGCAAACAGAGUGAACCAUCUCCUGCGUUAGCUAUGGCCACCAACGGGAAGAAGUCCUUUGCCAAACAUGUUGCUACCUGGUCAUGGCACCAUAGUCAGAUUCUGGUAAAUCUCUGGUGGGAGGUGAGCAAGAUGUUUGACUUCAGUAAAAGUACCAGAAAUGAACAUGUGUACUAAGAAAUAACAGACACGCUGACAGUGUUGGGGAUUCACAGGCUGGUGAGCAGUGCAAGGAGCAGAUGAAGUGGCUCAAGAGCAACCACUGGAAAGCCAGGGAUGAGAACUGCAUUUCUGGGAAACCCCACCCCCACCCAUCAUCUUGCCUCUUUUACAAGAACUUUGAUUGGGUGAUGGGUACUGUGCCAAGCACUGAGCCCCCAACUGUUCACAAUAGCCUGGUCAGCCGGGAUGGUCACCUUCUGACAGCCAAAUCUAGUGUAGUACUAGAGGGGAACCAACACGCACCAGAUCAGGCUAGCAAAGUCCUCAAGGAGGAUUUGCUGCUGGAGCAGCUGCAGCACAUUGUGGGUCCAUAGUCAGAGGAAUUGUGUGAUGACCCCCCAGAGGAGCAGCCAGCCAUAGAGCUUGCAGAAGAGGCAGAAGUAGCCCCAGUGCCUGGCCCUUUCACCUCUGCAGCCCAGUUACAGUGCAGCAGAAGUUUGAUUUCAAACUGUCAGGGAGUGGUCAAAGAGGAAGUGUUUCCCUGAUGAACUUACGGUGGACAUCCUGGACAGGGCCAACAAGCAG